This 432-nucleotide ribosomal RNA is filed under the name uncultured bacterium. RNAcentral's name for it is "partial 16S ribosomal RNA". It matches the Rfam family "Bacterial small subunit ribosomal RNA", at positions 29 to 507 of the family's 1533-position model. The record is from RNAcentral.
AACGAACGCUGGCGGCAUGCCUAACACAUGCAAGUCGAACGAGACCUUCGGGUCUAGUGGCGCACGGGUUCGUAACGCGUGGGAACCUGCCCUUAGGUUCGGAAUAACUCCCCGAAAGGGGUGCUAAUACCGGAUAAUGUCUUCGGACCAAAGAUUUAUCGCCUUUGGAUGGGCCCGCGUUGGAUUAGCUAGUUGGUAGGGUAAAAGCCUACCAAGGCGGCGAUCCAUAGCUGGUCUGGAAGGAUGAUCAGCCACACUGGGACUGAGACACGGCCCAGACCCCCCGGGGAGGGAGGAGGGGGGAAAAUGGAACGACGGGGGAAAGCCGGACGCACCAGGGCCGGGGGAGUGUGGAAGGCUUGAGGGUUGUAAGGGUCUUUUACCGGGGAUGAAAUGACCGUACCCGGGAAAAAAGCCCCGGCUAACCCCGGG